GAUGAACGCUAGCGGGAGGCCUAACACAUGCAAGCCGAGCGGUAUUGUUUCUUCGGCAAUGAGAGAGCGGCGUACGGGUGCGUAACACGUGUGCAACCUGCCUUUAUCUGGGGGAUAGCCUUUCGAAAGGAAGAUUAAUACUCCAUAAUAUAUUGAACGGCAUCGUUUAAUAUUGAAAGCUCCGGCGGAUAGAGAUGGGCACGCGCAAGAUUAGCUAGUUGGUGAGGUAACGGCUCACCAAGGCGAUGAUCUUUAGGGGGCCUGAGAGGGUGAUCCCCCACACUGGUACUGAGACACGGACCAGACUCCUACGGGAGGCAGCAGUGAGGAAGAUUGGUCAAUGGGUGCAAGCCUGAACCAGCCAUCCCGCGUGAAGGACGACUGCCCUAUGGGUUGUAAACUUCUUUUGUAUAGGGAUAAACCUACCCUCGAGAGGGUAGCUGAAGGUACUAGACGAAUAAGCACCGGCUAACUCCGUG
RNAcentral lists this ribosomal RNA (479 nucleotides) under uncultured bacterium. RNAcentral's name for it is "partial 16S ribosomal RNA". It matches the Rfam family "Bacterial small subunit ribosomal RNA", at positions 28 to 507 of the family's 1533-position model. The record is from RNAcentral.